This 74-nucleotide transfer RNA is filed under the name Serendipita sp. 399. Its description in RNAcentral is "tRNA-Ile". It matches the Rfam family "tRNA". From Rfam's summary of the family: Transfer RNA (tRNA) molecules are approximately 80 nucleotides in length. Their secondary structure includes four short double-helical elements and three loops (D, anti-codon, and T loops). Lineage: Eukaryota; Fungi; Basidiomycota; Agaricomycetes; Sebacinales; Serendipitaceae. The record is from RNAcentral.
GGUCGACUAGCUCAGUUGGUUAGAGCGCCGAGCUAAUAACUCGGAGGUCCUGGGUUCGACCCCCAUGUUGACCA